Molecule: ribosomal RNA, 165 nt
Filed under: Passiflora alata
Lineage: Eukaryota; Viridiplantae; Streptophyta; Magnoliopsida; Malpighiales; Passifloraceae
Also listed under: 1 other name
Description: 5.8S ribosomal RNA
Rfam family: 5.8S ribosomal RNA
About the family: 5.8S ribosomal RNA (5.8S rRNA) is a component of the large subunit of the eukaryotic ribosome. It is transcribed by RNA polymerase I as part of the 45S precursor that also contains 18S and 28S rRNA. Functionally, it is thought that 5.8S rRNA may be involved in ribosome translocation.
Source: RNAcentral
CAAAACGACUCUCGGCAACGGAUAUCUCGGCUCUCGCAUCGAUGAAGAACGUAGCGAAAUGCGAUACUUGGUGUGAAUUGCAGAAUCCCGUGAACCAUCGAGUCUUUGAACGCAAGUUGCGCCCGAAGCCUUCGGGCCGAGGGCACGUCUGCCUGGGUGUCAUGC